RNAcentral lists this ribosomal RNA (667 nucleotides) under uncultured Alphaproteobacteria bacterium. RNAcentral describes it as "bacterial SSU rRNA". It matches the Rfam family "Bacterial small subunit ribosomal RNA", at positions 8 to 721 of the family's 1533-position model. The record is from RNAcentral. Lineage: Bacteria; Pseudomonadati; Pseudomonadota; Alphaproteobacteria.
AGAGUUUGAUCCUGGCUCAGAACGAACGCUGGCGGCAGGCCUAACACAUGCAAGUCGAGCGCGCCCUUCGGGGUGAGCGGCGGACGGGUUAGUAACGCGUGGGAAUAUGCCCAAAGGUACGGAAUAGCCUCUGGAAACGGAGAGUAAUACCGUAUGUGCCCUUCGGGGGAAAGAUUUAUCGCCUUUGGAUUAGCCCGCGUUAGAUUAGGUAGUUGGUGGGGUAAUGGCCUACCAAGCCUACGAUCUAUAGCUGGUUUUAGAGGAUGAUCAGCAACACUGGGACUGAGACACGGCCCAGACUCCUACGGGAGGCAGCAGUGGGGAAUCUUGGACAAUGGGGGCAACCCUGAUCCAGCCAUGCCGCGUGAGUGAUGAAGGCCUUAGGGUCGUAAAGCUCUUUCGCCUGUGAAGAUAAUGACGGUAGCAGGUAAAGAAACCCCGGCUAACUCCGUGCCAGCAGCCGCGGUAAUACGGAGGGGGUUAGCGUUGUUCGGAAUUACUGGGCGUAAAGCGCACGUAGGCGGAUCGGAAAGUUGGGGGUGAAAUCCCGGGGCUCAACCCCGGAACUGCCUCCAAAACUAUCGGUCUAGAGUUCGAGAGAGGUGAGUGGAAUUCCGAGUGUAGAGGUGAAAUUCGUAGAUAUUCGGAGGAACACCAGUGGCGAAGG